AGAGUUUGAUCCUGGCUCAGAAUCAACGCUGGCGGCGUGCCUAACACAUGCAAGUCGAACGGGAAAGGGGAGCAAUCCCUGAGUAUAGUGGCGACCGGGUGAGUAACACGUGACUACCUGCCCUUGAGUGGGGGAUAACCUCGGGAAACCCAGGCUAAUACCGCUUAUUAUCGCAAGAUCUAAUGAGCAAUCCGCUUUUGGAGGGGGUCGCGGCUGAUUAGCUAGUUGGUAGGGUAAUGGCCUACCAAGGCGAAGAUCGGUAUCCGGCCUGAGAGGGCGCACGGACACACUGGAACUGAAACACAGUCCAGACUCCUACGGGAGGCAGCAGUGGGGAAUUUUGCGCAAUGGGGGAAACCCUGACGCAGCAACGCCGCGUGGAGGAUGAAGCCCCUUGGGGUGUAAACUCCUUUCGACCGGGAAAAUAAUGAUGGUACCGGUGGAAGAAGCACCGGCUAACUCUGUGCCAGCAGCCGCGGUAAUACAGAGGGUGCGAGCGUUGUUCGGAAUUAUUGGGCGUAAAGGGCGCGUACCGGUACGGUAAGUCACCUGUGAAAUCACGGGCUUAACUCGGGCCUGCAGGCGAACUGCCGUGCUGGAGGGUGGGAGAAGUGCGUGUAUUCCCGGUGUAGCGUUGAUGUGCGAGAUAUCGUGAGGUACACCUGUGGCGAAGCAGCGCACUGAACCACUACUGACCCUGAUCGCGAAAGCUAGGGAUCGAACAGGAUUGAUACCCUGAAGUCCUAGCCCUAACGAUGAUGCUAGAUGUGAUCGGUACCCAUGCCGAUCAUGCCCAGCUACGCGAUGAGCAAUCUCCUGGGCGUCCGUCGCUAGCUGAAACUCAAGCACUGACGGGAGCCCGCCAAGCGUGAGCAUGUGAUCAAUCGAGCCACCCGAGACCUUACUGGG
Molecule: ribosomal RNA, 909 nt
Filed under: uncultured soil bacterium
Lineage: Bacteria
Description: bacterial SSU rRNA
Rfam family: Bacterial small subunit ribosomal RNA
Source: RNAcentral